UAAUAGUGUUUUUAAUGGAAACGCCGCAAAAAGAGAAAAUCAAAAUCCCCAAAUUUUUUGGUUACCCGCUCGUUACUCCCUCUUCUUCUUAUCUCCAUCGCGCGCCUAAAUCCCCCAAAUAACUCUCAAAAUUUGCCCCCAAAUUUCCCAUUUCCGGCAACACCAAGUCAAUACAUCUACUGUAUUUGUUCGGCUGAGAAAAAAAGGGAAAGAAGGAGGUCGGGAACCGGCGAAGUUCGUCGGAUUUCAUCUAUUCGUCAUCGGAUCUUCCAAAAAAAUAACUCUUUAUUUGAGUUUCGAACGCGGAUAUAGAAAAGAAUCGGGAAAAUGAAGGGAUCUGGACCUCUUGUUGCGACCGUGCUCGUUGCGUCUACGGUGGCUUUCACUUCGUCUUCAUCCGUCGAAGUCCAACAUGUUUCUUUUUCUCCAACCUCCUCCAACCAGAUAUUUUACUGGGAAAAUUUGGCUGCUUAAAUCUAUUAAUUCGAGUGCCUUGCUUCUGGAUCUAGAUUUGCUCAUUUAAUUUCACUUUAGGAGCAUGAUUCAUUUGCUUUAAUUUUAAAUUAAAUAUUUAGUUCUUGAUAUUAACAUGGAACAAUUGAUUGUGUAGGAGUCACAGAACAUUGCAUCGAGGAAUCGUACGACGUUAUUUAGGAGUGUGGGUUUGGCUGAGGGGCAUGGUAGGUUCUCCCAUGAAUAUUAGUCCUGUGUAGAAAGGGCUUGCAGAUUUUACCCAGAAGCUGAGCUCAGCCACAACUGAAUUGGAGAAAGCUAAAGCACAGAUUGGGAUUGAUGUUCAUAGCGCACUAAACUCAGCUCUCACAGGCUAACCGUUGUUUGCCAUUAUGUUCAUUGGAGUUAAGAAGGAAAAAGGAUGCAAUAGCACGAGGUGACUGAGAUUUCGUUUAACAAUUUUCUUUAUUGUUGGAACAAGUCUUAACCAAGAUCAAGAUCAAAGUACUUCACUAAGUUAUAUAUGCAGGCAUUGCAAUACUUUGGCUUCAUCUAAGCUUGAACCAGCCGUCUGUUGUAUAUUGUUUCUUCUUCUUUUCUGAUAUUUUUCCUUUGAUUAAUAAGAGUUGACGAUGAUGAAUUUUGUUUUAGAAAUUGUAAUACUUUGUGUGUGUUUUUUUUAUGUAUUAAAUUACAUAUUGAGUCAAUGUAUAAGUAUUAAAUUUAAAUUCAUUUAUUUUUAUAUUUAAUUUUGAAGUUUAAAUUUUAAUGGAAAA
Gossypium arboreum is the source of this 1229-nucleotide long non-coding RNA. RefSeq lists it as uncharacterized. The transcript has 5 exons. Lineage: Eukaryota; Viridiplantae; Streptophyta; Magnoliopsida; Malvales; Malvaceae. The record is from RefSeq and is a predicted model, not a curated record.